This 2313-nucleotide long non-coding RNA is filed under the name Nicotiana tabacum (common tobacco). Its description in RNAcentral is "long non-coding RNA (NTAB_LNC010987)". The record is from RNAcentral. Lineage: Eukaryota; Viridiplantae; Streptophyta; Magnoliopsida; Solanales; Solanaceae.
ACCAUUUUUCUGUUUUGUCAAAGCACAGGCGUGGUAAACUGGGAUCAUCCAGUCAUCUAAUGAAAAUACUUGACAGACAGGUCACAUGUAAUUUCAGAUCUCCACAAUGCUAUUAAACCAGUGGACAGAAAUGUUUGUCAAUUUUAUGUGGGAGAAAAAAUUUCUUAACAAGAAGGACAUUAAUAUCUCUUGUUUAUUCUUCAUUCUAUGUUAUUGAUGUUUCUCAUCUAAAUAACUUGUUGCUAUAACGAGAAAAGACACCUUUUGCUAGAAACAGUAUUUUCAGAUCUCUAGCUACAUUUACUAGGAUGUGGCUCUUUGUAGUGAAGUUCAAUCUUAUAAAGUUCAAUACCUUACACGAGUUCAUUAAGAUAAAGAAAAAACAAAGAUAACAACAGCUGCAAAAAUUUGAUGACAAGCUACUUAUCUUAUAAGCCACCCAGCAUGACCUAAUUUUAUUUUAUUGAAACACCACUACUUUUAUUUUUAAUUUUUUUUGUAAGCAACCAGCAUGACCUAUUUUUAUGUUUGUUCACACAAAUACAACAGUUGUGGAGACCAGUAGACAAAUUACUACUGCUACUGCUAUAUCGAGAUAUUACUACACCAGCUGCAGAAACCUAUUAACAAAUUACUACUAUUCCGUUUAAAUACAUCUAGCUCAUCAAUAGGUGCUUUAUGGGAGACUUUCAACCUCAUUAGAUAAUCAUUGUCUACAAAAAAGAGCUACCGAGACAUAAUAGAUAAACAAUGAUAGUUCACUCACAAUGGAUUAGUAUGAAAUUUUCAAAUUGAAAAUGCAGAUCUACUUUAGGAAAGGAAAAUGCCUUCCAGCUGAAUAAGUAGAUUUCUCGUGUAAGUUGUAAGACCAUUGAUUAUGGCAUCUUAACGAACAUUCAGCAAACAAACCCCAAGUGUUAUAAUCAGCCUUUAUAUCCAGAGAGGUGCAAACAAAAGAAUGUACUCACUUCCUUGGAUAACCAAAAACUGUUGGCACAUUAAGUUAACUCUCACUCUGUGGUACAAGAAUGAGAUAUGCUUCAAAAGCAACUGCUGCAAACACCGACCGACUUACAAUAACCUAGUAAAGUCCUAACUUACCGUAUAUUCUGACCACAUUGCUUCCUGUGACCUCUUCUUUGGCAUAUGCUCAGACGCUCCACCUUUGGAAGAAGAUGGCUGCUGCAAAAGAUUUAGUGCUAAUAAACUUGUAUGACCAAUUCAAAAGAAAAAAGAGGAAACGGCAAAGAUGUGCCAUUUCUGGUAAAUGGUCAUCACAUACUUUACUAUUACAGUCAGCUUGUUCGAUAUGGACUUGUUAUCACGAACAGUGCUGGGAAGAAGAAAAGGGAGAAUAGAUACAGAGGAGAGAGUAAAAUAAUAUAGCAAAUUAGAGAGAUGUAAGCAUCUUUCAGCAAUCUUCAUAAGUACUACUAAACAAGAGUAUUCACAUCAAUAAGUACGAAAUUUAACUUAUAUCGAGUACAAAAUAAUUAUUGAAUCAGCUGCAUUUAGAGAUGAUCUUCGAUAAUAUUGGCUAUGCAGAAGAAUAGCACUGUGGUAUCCGUAGUGUACCAUGUAUAAUGUAAUUUACAGAAGCUCACACUUACUCCCUGUACCAUUUCUUCAUAUAGUACGGGAACAGCACAAAAUUUGUAAUCUUUUCCUUAAAUAGGGGAUCUGUGAGGACCUGAGGAGAUAAGUCUUCAUCCCUUCUGUAUCAUAAAGGCAGAAAUUGAGUUUUAAAUUUAGAGUAUUCCAAUGCAAACAACAUGGUGAGACUUCACCAACUCUGCUAAUGACAGCAAGCGUUAAACUUUUUCUCUAUGCGACAAAAUCAGCCAGAGAAUCAUGGUUUUACUUCCAAAGAUGUGUUGCAAUCAAUACAUCAGGAUUCUAUCUUUUCUUUUGGUUUUGUCUCUAUUUUAGGAUUCUUUUCGAUAGGUGGUAUGAAUGCUAUCAUAAGUGGAAAGGAGAGUUUUUAGUAAUCAAGUAGUUUUCACAAUGAACAAACAUGUUAUUUUCUUGCAUCAACCUCACAAUCGGAUCCACAGGUCAAAAUUUGGAUCAGAUUGACAAAUUUAACUAUCUCCUUUUUUCCUUUUUAUUUUUGUUUUGCAAAUCUUGUGUGUCAUCCUGGAAAGAGAAUGGUACUCUGAAUAAGGUCUGCCUUUGUCUAAAAGUUUUGAGAUGAAAUACCUUACGCAUAAAAGAUAAAUAGACAGCUUUUGCACACAAAUUAGUACAAUGUCUGACCUGAAAAGGGCAUGGUACUAGAGUCCCAAAGAGACCUUCGGUCAGAUCUGCAGCUCU